GUGGAAAAGAAAUGAGAUGGAUGAGAAAAGGAGAAGAGAGUCACCUGUUUAGGGAAGUAUGGAGAUGCUAAACCUGGCCAUGAUCACGGGGAGCAUUUUGCUAAUGCUGAAACAAACCUGAUGCUACAGGCUCGGCCCCGAGGUUAUACCCACCAAGAGGAAGUAUGUCCGGAAUUGGUGGGUUCUUGCAGUCACUGACUUCAAGAAUGAAGCCGCGGACCCUCGCGGUGAGUGUUACAGCUCUUAAGCUGGCGCGUCUGGAGUUUGUUCCUUCUGAUGUUCAGAUGUGUUCGGGGUUUCUUCCUUCUGGUGGGUUCGUGGUCUCGCUGGCUCAGGAGUGAAGCUGCAGACCUUGCGGUGAGUGUUACAGCUCUUAAGGCAGCGCGUCUGGAGUUGUUCCUUCCUCCCGGUGAACUCGUGGUGUCGCUGGCUUCAAGAGUGAAGCUGCAGAUCUUCGCGGUGAGUGUUACAACUCAUAAAAGCGGCGUGGACCCAGAGUGAGCAGUAGCAAGAUUUGUUGCAAAGAGCGAAAGAACAAAGCUUCCACAGUGUGGAAAGGAACCCGAGUGUGUUGCCACUGCUCGCUCGUGCAGCCGGCUUUUAUUCUCUUAUUUGGUCCCACCCACGACCUGCUGAUUGGUAGAACCCAGUGGUCUGUUUUGACAGGGUGCUGACUGGUGUGUUUACAAUCCCUGAGCUAGACAUAAAGGUUUUCCACGUCCCCAUCAGAUCAGUUAGAUACAGAGUAGCGACACAAAGGUUCUCCAAG
Molecule: long non-coding RNA, 769 nt
Filed under: Homo sapiens (human)
Lineage: Eukaryota; Metazoa; Chordata; Mammalia; Primates; Hominidae
Description: non-protein coding lnc-MAP4K3-1:1
Source: RNAcentral